This 252-nucleotide ribosomal RNA is filed under the name uncultured bacterium. RNAcentral describes it as "partial 16S ribosomal RNA". It matches the Rfam family "Bacterial small subunit ribosomal RNA", at positions 524 to 776 of the family's 1533-position model. The record is from RNAcentral.
UACGGAGGAUGCGAGCGUUAUCCGGAUUUAUUGGGUUUAAAGGGCGCGUAGGCGGGAUGCCAAGUCAGCGGUAAAAAUGCGGUGCUCAACGCCGUCGAGCCGUUGAAACUGGCGUUCUUGAGUGGGCGAGAAGUAUGCGGAAUGCGUGGUGUAGCGGUGAAAUGCAUAGAUAUCACGCAGAACUCCGAUUGCGAAGGCAGCAUACCGGCGCCCUACUGACGCUGAGGCACGAAAGCGUGGGUAUCAAACAGG